RNAcentral lists this unclassified non-coding RNA (467 nucleotides) under Hevea brasiliensis (rubber tree). Lineage: Eukaryota; Viridiplantae; Streptophyta; Magnoliopsida; Malpighiales; Euphorbiaceae. The record is from RNAcentral.
CUCGUGGCUCGUGCCUAUGUUUGUGGUGGCAAAUGUUGCUGUCUUUAUUGUUGUCAUGUACAUCAAUGAUUGUCCUAAUCAUUUUCAUUCUCGGUUCCAAGGGAAGUGUGUUGCGAGGUUUCUUGGGAGAUUCUCUUUCGAGCCCUUAAGAGACAAUCCUCUCUUUGGUCCCUCUUCUGCUACGUAACUAGUUUUUCUUUCUUCCUCUGCUUUAAUUUUUCCUUUGUCAAUCUUUUUUUUUAUUUAAUUUUCCUUUUCUAUACUCUUCCUUGAAUGCUGUGAGGAAUUUUUGACUAUUGGUAGAUAUAGUUUUGUUGGUUUUCUAUUUCCGUCGAUGAGUAAGAAUGGCUCCCCUGCUGAUUUUGUACAUUUCAAUACCUGAUUUUCCAUACUGUUAAUGACAAUUUCCAUGGUGGGAUUUAUGAGACAUAUAAAUCUUGUUACUUUGUGUUAGUUUCGUUUGCUUU